RNAcentral lists this ribosomal RNA (497 nucleotides) under uncultured bacterium. Its description in RNAcentral is "partial 16S ribosomal RNA". It matches the Rfam family "Bacterial small subunit ribosomal RNA", at positions 28 to 507 of the family's 1533-position model. The record is from RNAcentral.
GAUGAACGCUGGCGGCGUGCCUAAUACAUGCAAGUCGAGCGAACGGACGAGAAGCUUGCUUCUCUGAUGUUAGCGGCGGACGGGUGAGUAACACGUGGAUACCCUACCUAUAAGACUGGGAUAACUUCGGGAAACCGUAGCUAAUACCGGAUAAUAUUUUGAACCGCAUGGUUCAAAAGUGAAAGACGGUCUUGCUGUCACUUAUAGAUGGAUCCGCGCUGCAUUAGCUAGUUGGUAAGGUAACGGCUUACCAAGGCAACGAUGCAUAGCCGACCUGAGAGGGUGAUCGGCCACACUGGAACUGAGACACGGUCCAGACUCCUACGGGAGGCAGCAGUAGGGAAUCUUCCGCAAUGGGCGAAAGCCUGACGGAGCAACGCCGCGUGAGUGAUGAAGGUCUUCGGAUCGUAAAACUCUGUUAUUAGGGAAGAACAUAUGUGUAAGUAAAUGUGCACAUCUUGACGGUACCUAAUCAGAAAGCAACGGCUAACUACGUG